GUUAUCAGUGACCAGAAGAUCCGGAUGCCUGGGAGGUGAACAAGCCUUCAGCUGCCUUUGCUAUGGGAAUACAGUUUCCAGUCACUCAGCCUCUGAAGAAGCUUCGGGUUCAGACUCAGGCAGUCAGUCGGAAAGUGAGCAGGGAA
This 146-nucleotide small RNA is filed under the name Pan troglodytes (chimpanzee). RNAcentral describes it as "processed transcript". The record is from RNAcentral. Lineage: Eukaryota; Metazoa; Chordata; Mammalia; Primates; Hominidae.